This 875-nucleotide ribosomal RNA is filed under the name Lactiplantibacillus plantarum. Its description in RNAcentral is "bacterial SSU rRNA". It matches the Rfam family "Bacterial small subunit ribosomal RNA", at positions 19 to 858 of the family's 1533-position model. Lineage: Bacteria; Bacillati; Bacillota; Bacilli; Lactobacillales; Lactobacillaceae. The record is from RNAcentral.
CUGGCUCAGGACGAACGCUGGCGGCGUGCCUAAUACAUGCAAGUCGAACGAACUCUGGUAUUGAUUGGUGCUUGCAUCAUGAUUUACAUUUGAGUGAGUGGCGAACUGGUGAGUAACACGUGGGAAACCUGCCCAGAAGCGGGGGAUAACACCUGGAAACAGAUGCUAAUACCGCAUAACAACUUGGACCGCAUGGUCCGAGCUUGAAAGAUGGCUUCGGCUAUCACUUUUGGAUGGUCCCGCGGCGUAUUAGCUAGAUGGUGAGGUAACGGCUCACCAUGGCAAUGAUACGUAGCCGACCUGAGAGGGUAAUCGGCCACAUUGGGACUGAGACACGGCCCAAACUCCUACGGGAGGCAGCAGUAGGGAAUCUUCCACAAUGGACGAAAGUCUGAUGGAGCAACGCCGCGUGAGUGAAGAAGGGUUUCGGCUCGUAAAACUCUGUUGUUAAAGAAGAACAUAUCUGAGAGUAACUGUUCAGGUAUUGACGGUAUUUAACCAGAAAGCCACGGCUAACUACGUGCCAGCAGCCGCGGUAAUACGUAGGUGGCAAGCGUUGUCCGGAUUUAUUGGGCGUAAAGCGAGCGCAGGCGGUUUUUUAAGUCUGAUGUGAAAGCCUUCGGCUCAACCGAAGAAGUGCAUCGGAAACUGGGAAACUUGAGUGCAGAAGAGGACAGUGGAACUCCAUGUGUAGCGGUGAAAUGCGUAGAUAUAUGGAAGAACACCAGUGGCGAAGGCGGCUGUCUGGUCUGUAACUGACGCUGAGGCUCGAAAGUAUGGGUAGCAAACAGGAUUAGAUACCCUGGUAGUCCAUACCGUAAACGAUGAAUGCUAAGUGUUGGAGGGUUUCCGCCCUUCAGUGCUGCAGCUAACGC